RNAcentral lists this ribosomal RNA (840 nucleotides) under uncultured bacterium. RNAcentral describes it as "bacterial SSU rRNA". It matches the Rfam family "Bacterial small subunit ribosomal RNA", at positions 30 to 860 of the family's 1533-position model. The record is from RNAcentral.
UGAACGCUAGCUACAGGCUUAACACAUGCAAGUCGAGGGGAAACGACAUCGAAAGCUUGCUUUUGAUGGGCGUCGACCGGCGCACGGGUGAGUAACGCGUAUCCAACCUGCCCACCACUUGGGGAUAACCUUGCGAAAGUAAGACUAAUACCCAAUGAUAUCUCUAGAAGACAUCUGAAAGAGAUUAAAGAUUUAUCGGUGAUGGAUGGGGAUGCGUCUGAUUAGCUUGUUGGCGGGGUAACGGCCCACCAAGGCGACGAUCAGUAGGGGUUCUGAGAGGAAGGUCCCCCACAUUGGAACUGAGACACGGUCCAAACUCCUACGGGAGGCAGCAGUGAGGAAUAUUGGUCAAUGGGCGAGAGCCUGAACCAGCCAAGUAGCGUGCAGGAUGACGGCCCUAUGGGUUGUAAACUGCUUUUAUAAGGGAAUAAAGUGAGUCUCGUGAGACUUUUUGCAUGUACCUUAUGAAUAAGGACCGGCUAAUUCCGUGCCAGCAGCCGCGGUAAUACGGAAGGUCCGGGCGUUAUCCGGAUUUAUUGGGUUUAAAGGGAGCGUAGGCCGGAGAUUAAGCGUGUUGUGAAAUGUAGACGCUCAACGUCUGCACUGCAGCGCGAACUGGUUUCCUUGAGUACGCACAAAGUGGGCGGAAUUCGUGGUGUAGCGGUGAAAUGCUUAGAUAUCACGAAGAACUCCGAUUGCGAAGGCAGCUCACUGGAGCGCAACUGACGCUGAAGCUCGAAAGUGCGGGUAUCGAACAGGAUUAGAUACCCUGGUAGUCCGCACGGUAAACGAUGGAUGCCCGCUGUUGGUCUGAAUAGGUCAGCGGCCAAGCGAAAGCAU